UCAAGCGACUAAGUGCAUGUGGUGGAUGCCUUGGCGAUCACAGGCGAUGAAGGACGUGACAGCCUGCGAAAAGCUCCGGGGAGCUGGCAAAUGAGCAUUGAUCCGGAGAUGUCCGAAUGGGGAAACCCGGCCCGCAAGGGUCACCGCCGCCCGAAUCCAUAGGGUGGAGGGAGCUAACCCGGUGAACUGAAACAUCUCAGUAGCCGGAGGAACAGAAAUCAACCGAGAUUCCGCUAGUAGUGGCGAGCGAACGCGGAGGAGCCUGCAAGUUUUAGCCGAUGCCUUAGUGGAGCGCUCUGGAAAGGGCGGCCGCAGUGGGUGACAGCCCCGUACACGAAAGGGCGUCGGUGGAACCAAGCUUGCGACAAGUAGGGCGGGACACGUGAAAUCCUGUCUGAAGACGGGGGGACCAUCCUCCAAGGCUAAAUACUCGUGAUCGACCGAUAGCGAACCAGUACCGUGAGGGAAAGGCGAAAAGAACCCCGGAAGGGGAGUGAAACAGAUCCUGAAACCGCAUGCAUACAAACAGUCGGAGCUCCGUCACUCAAUUGCUCUGCAAUUGCGUGACAUCGCUCCUCCUUUCAGGGGUCAGGAGUCAGUUGACAGGAGUCAGUAACGGCAGGUCGAGUCAUGCGCUGCGCAUGGGGAUGACGCGCUGUUACUGCCAACUGCCAACUGAAUCCUGUCUUCUGCACGGAGGAGAUCAAUGGCGGAGCCAUUGAGCGACGGAGUGACGGCGUACCUUUUGUAUAAUGGGUCAGCGACUUACGUUCCGUAGCGAGCUUAACCGCAUAGGGAAGGCGCAGCGAAAGCGAGUCCGAACAGGGCGCUUCAGUUGCGGGGCGUAGACCCGAAACCGGAUGAUCUAGCCAUGGCCAGGCUGAAGCGGGGGUAACACCUCGUGGAGGGCCGAACCCACUACCGUUGAAAAGGUAGGGGAUGAGCUGUGGCUAGGGGUGAAAGGCUAAACAAAUCCGGAGAUAGCUGGUUCUCUCCGAAAGCUAUUGAGGUAGCGCCUCGUGUAUCACCUUCGGGGGUAGAGCACUGUCAUGGUAGUGGGGAGCAUCGCGCUCUACCACGCCAUUGCAAACUCCGAAUACCGAAGAGUGCGAGCACGGGAGACAGACGGCGGGUGCUAACGUUCGUCGUCGAGAGGGAAACAACCCAGACCACCAGCUAAGGUCCCCAAGACACAGUUAAGUGGGAAACGAGGUGGGAAGGCUCAGACAGCCAGGAUGUUGGCUUAGAAGCAGCCAUCAUUUAAAGAAAGCGUAAUAGCUCACUGGUCGAGUCGUCCUGCGCGGAAGAUGUAACGGGGCUCAAACUGUGC
Molecule: ribosomal RNA, 1330 nt
Filed under: Rhizobiaceae bacterium
Lineage: Bacteria; Pseudomonadati; Pseudomonadota; Alphaproteobacteria; Hyphomicrobiales; Rhizobiaceae
Description: partial 23S ribosomal RNA (partial)
Rfam family: Bacterial large subunit ribosomal RNA
Source: RNAcentral